CUUUACUAUAGCUUGACACUGAACAUUGAGCCUUGAUGUGUAGGAUAGGUGGGAGGCUUUGAAGUGUGGACGCCAGUCUGCAUGGAGCCGGCCUUGAAAUACCACCCUUUAAUGUUUGAUGUUCUAACGUUGGCCCGUAAUCCGGGUUGCGGACAGUGUCUGGUGGGUAGUUUGACUGGGGCGGUCUCCUCCUAAAGAGUAACGGAGGAGCACGAAGGUUGGCUAAUCCUGGUCGGACAUCAGGAGGUUAGUGCAAUGGCAUAAGCCAGCUUGACUGCGAGCGUGACGGCGCGAGCAGGUGCGAAAGCAGGUCAUAGUGAUCCGGUGGUUCUGAAUGGAAGGGCCAUCGCUCAACGGAUAAAAGGUACUCCGGGGAUAACAGGCUGAUACCGCCCAAGAGUUCAUAUCGACGGCGGUGUUUGGCACCUCGAUGUCGGCUCAUCACAUCCUGGGGCUGAAGUAGGUCCCAAGGGUAUGGCUGUUCGCCAUUUAAAGUGGUACGCGAGCUGGGUUUAGAACGUCGUGAGACAGUUCGGUCCCUAUCUGCCGUGGGCGCUGGAGAACUGAGGGGGGCUGCUCCUAGUACGAGAGGACCGGAGUGGACGCAUCACUGGUGUUCGGGUUGUCAUGCCAAUGGCACUGCCCGGUAGCUAAAUGCGGAAGAGAUAAGUGCUGAAAGCAUCUAAGCACGAAACUUGCC
Molecule: ribosomal RNA, 700 nt
Filed under: Escherichia coli
Lineage: Bacteria; Pseudomonadati; Pseudomonadota; Gammaproteobacteria; Enterobacterales; Enterobacteriaceae
Description: partial 23S ribosomal RNA
Rfam family: Bacterial large subunit ribosomal RNA
Source: RNAcentral